AAUUGACGGGGACCCGCACAAGCGGUGGAUGAUGUGGAUUAAUUCGAUGCAACGCGAAGAACCUUACUACCCCUUGACAUGUCCGGAACUUGCCAGAGAUGGCUUGGUGCCCGAAAGGGAAUCGGAACACAGGUGCUGUAUGGCUGUCGUCAGCUCGUGUCGUGAGAUGUUGGGUUAAGUCCCGCAACGAGCGCAACCCUUAUCAUUAGUUGCUACGCAAGGGCACUCUAAUGAGACUGCCGGUGACAAACCGGAGGAAGGUGGGGAUGACGUCAAGUCCUCAUGGCCCUUAUGGGUAGGGCUUCACACGUCAUACAAUGGUCGGUACAGAGGGUUGCCAAGCCGCGAGGCGGAGCCAAUCCCACAAAGCCGAUCGUAGUCCGGAUUGUUCUCUGCAACUCGAGAGCAUGAAGUCGGAAUCGCUAGUAAUCGCAGGUCAGCAUACUGCGGUGAAUACGUUCCCGGGUCUU
RNAcentral lists this ribosomal RNA (470 nucleotides) under uncultured Thiobacillus sp. Its description in RNAcentral is "bacterial SSU rRNA". It matches the Rfam family "Bacterial small subunit ribosomal RNA", at positions 908 to 1382 of the family's 1533-position model. Lineage: Bacteria; Pseudomonadati; Pseudomonadota; Betaproteobacteria; Nitrosomonadales; Thiobacillaceae. The record is from RNAcentral.